This 502-nucleotide unclassified non-coding RNA is filed under the name Homo sapiens (human). RNAcentral describes it as "MUC20 overlapping transcript (ENSG00000281915.2)". Lineage: Eukaryota; Metazoa; Chordata; Mammalia; Primates; Hominidae. The record is from RNAcentral.
CUGCUGUGGCUGAGCCUUGGGGUGAAGACAGGCAGCUGCUCCCAACCCCAGAACCUUUGCUGUCUUGGGACGGAUCACCGCUGCAAGAGGGGAAGUUGCUACUGUGAUGAAUUCUGCCAUGUGGCACCAGACUGCCACCCAGACCACAGUGUCCUCUGCAACCCUGCUUCUCAGAUGACCAAGAUGGUGCUGCAGAUGGUGCUGAGGAUGGAGAACCCACCAAGCCCCGCUAGGAGCCACCUAGACUGGAUGCAGAGCAUGAUUUGAAGAUUGUACCAGGAGAGCCGCAGUGUUCCAGAGCUACUGAGGGGGCUGGGCUGGGAUUUGCUGUAUUCGAGAAGACCCCCUUGGACCCGAGAGGCUGUGGGCUUGGGGAGCGAGGAGGUUUCACAGCAGAAAGGACACCCCGGGGCUCCUGGAUAAGCCAGAAAAUGUGCCAGGGGAAGUCGGGCUCCAAGGGCACCACUCUGGGCUUCCAGCUGUGUGGGCUGGACCAAGAAGG